This 402-nucleotide unclassified non-coding RNA is filed under the name soil metagenome. RNAcentral describes it as "partial contains 5.8S ribosomal RNA, internal transcribed spacer 2, and large subunit ribosomal RNA". The stretch from base 1 to 121 matches the Rfam family "5.8S ribosomal RNA", at positions 35 to 154 of the family's 154-position model. The record is from RNAcentral.
GAUGAAGAACGUAGCGAAAUGCGAUAAGUAAUGUGAAUUGCAGAAUUCAGUGAAUCAUCGAAUCUUUGAACGCACCUUGCACCCUUUGGCUAUUCCGAAGGGUAUGCCUGUUUGAGUAUCAUGAACACCUCAACUCUCAUGGUUUGCCAUGAUGAGCUUGGACUUUGGGGGUCUUGCUGGCCUGUGGUCAGCUCCUCUCAAAUGGAUUAGCUUGCCAGUGUUUGGUGGCAUCACAGGUGUGAUAACUAUCUACGCUUGUGGUUUUCCACCAGGUAACCUUCAGCAAUGGGGGUUCGCUGGGGCUCAUAAAUGUCUCUCCUCAGUGAGGACAGCUCUUUGAACGUUUGAUCUCAAAUCAGUUAGGACUACCCGCUGAACUUAAGCAUAUCAAUAAGCGGAGGA